AAGUCGUAACAAGGUUUCCGUAGGUGAACCUGCGGAAGGAUCAUUAGAAUGAGAGCCGGACCAUGUCGUGGGCGAAAGCCCAAACGUGCCAGUAAGCGCCCGUAAACCUCCACCCUUGUGUAUUAUUCUUUGUUGCUUUGGUGGGCCGCAAGCCUUCGGGCGAGCACCGGCUUCGGCUGGAGAGUGCCUGCCAGAGGACUCAACUCUGUAAUUUAGUGAUGUCUGAGUACUAUUAAAUAGUUAAAA
This 246-nucleotide unclassified non-coding RNA is filed under the name plant metagenome. RNAcentral describes it as "partial contains small subunit ribosomal RNA and internal transcribed spacer 1". The stretch from base 1 to 46 matches the Rfam family "Eukaryotic small subunit ribosomal RNA", at positions 1786 to 1831 of the family's 1831-position model. The record is from RNAcentral.